CCUACGGGAGGCUGCAGUGAGGAAUAUUGGUCAAUGGGCGCGAGCCUGAACCAGCCAAGUAGCGUGAAGGAUGACUGCCCUACGGGUUGUAAGCUUCUUUUAUAAAGGAAUAAAGUGAGGCACGUGUGCCUUUUUGUAUGUACUUUAUGAAUAAGGAUCGGCUAACUCCGUGCCAGCAGCCGCGGUAAUACGGAGGAUCCGAGCGUUAUCCGGAUUUAUUGGGUUUAAAGGGAGCGUAGAUGGGUUGGUAAGUCAGUUGUGAAAGUUUGCGGCUCAACCGUAAAAUUGCAAUUGAUACUGGCAGGCUGGAGUACAGUUGAGGUAGGCGGAAUUCGUGGUGUAGCGGUGAAAUGCUUAGAUAUCACGAAGAACUCCGAUUGCGAAGGCAGCUUACUAAACUGCAACUGACAUUGAUGCUCGAAAGCGUGGGGAGCAAACAGGAUUAGAUACCCCAGUAGUC
This 460-nucleotide ribosomal RNA is filed under the name uncultured bacterium. RNAcentral's name for it is "partial 16S ribosomal RNA". It matches the Rfam family "Bacterial small subunit ribosomal RNA", at positions 338 to 795 of the family's 1533-position model. The record is from RNAcentral.